GGUGUUGCAUGGCUGUCGUCAGCUCGUGUCGUGAGAUGUUGGGUUAAGUCCCGCAACGAGCGCAACCCUCAUCCUUAGUUACCAUCAGGUAAUGCUGGGGACUUUAAGGAAACUGCCAGUGAUAAACUGGAGGAAGGUGGGGAUGAUGUCAAGUCAUCAUGGCCCUUAUGGAGUGGGCUACACACGUGCUACAGUGGUGGCUACAAUGGGCUGCAAAGUCGCGAGGCUAAGCUAAUCCCUUAAAAGCCAUCUCAGUUCGGAUUGUACUCUGCAACUCGAGUGCAUGAAGUUGGAAUCGCUAGUAAUCGUGGAUCAGCACGCCACGGUGAAUACGUUCCCGGGUCUUGUACACAC
RNAcentral lists this ribosomal RNA (354 nucleotides) under uncultured bacterium. Its description in RNAcentral is "bacterial SSU rRNA". It matches the Rfam family "Bacterial small subunit ribosomal RNA", at positions 1037 to 1390 of the family's 1533-position model. The record is from RNAcentral.